ACUCAACAAACAACGCUACCCACAUUUUUUUCAUGCACAAAGGUUAUGUGAGAACAAUGCAUCAUUGAGUUUUAUAACAUUCAAAGUUCACCCGCACAUUCUGUUGGGAGAAUGGUAAAUCCAUCGAGCUGUUUGUUAUCAAAAAUGAAACAGAACUUUUCUCAGGACUAAAUCCAGCAUCUCAAAACUAAAUCUGGAGCAAGUGAACUAAUCAGCUCCAGGAGAUUUCUUCACGCCAGAUGAUCGGCGACGGAGGAUGGAGCGUCCCGCGCACAAUGCGCUUGAAGACACCACUGGUGCGAUUUUCUUCUUCUGCUUCUUCUCCACUGCAGCCUCCUUCUCCUUAGCCUCCUCCGCAGCCUCCUUUGCCUCCUUCUCCGCAGCCUGUCUCUUCUUGGCUUCUAAAGGAUCUUGGGGUGGUGGUCUCGAGUAAUCCACACCAGUCAUGCGCUGCCGGUCCUCAAACUCGUUCGGCGGGCUCUCAAUCUCACGGGUAGAUGAAGAUCUGAGCCUAGGUGCAGCUGGUGGCUUUGUCCUGGAAGAGCAAAGUAUGGAAAUAAUAAUGGUGUGGUUCAGUCAAAUAUUUUUUCUGUAAAGAAAUUAAAAUAUGGAAAUUAUAAAGGUGUUGGAUCAUACUGAGAAGCCGUUGUGGGGUGAGGAGGUCCAGCAAGACGACCCAUAAUCCCAUUCAGCAAACCCUGACAUGGGGCACCUGCAGUACCAGUCAACAGUAGGUUAAGAUAACCCCAUAUGUGCUUUCAAAACCAAUUUUAACAGAAGGUGAUUGAGAGACAAAAUAAUAACCUGUAAGGGUAAGGGGUGUAAGAGAGAAAAGUGAUGGUCUCCUAGCUUGAUCCCUGCUUGAUUGGACCCUAACACAAGUAGCAAAAAUCAACAUUUUAAUAAAAUUACUUGGCAAAAGAAAUUUUGUAAACAAAAGGCUGACAGAACUAUCCAACUGAAAUAUGAAGAGAUUGCUUACUGAUGGAGCCAAAGCUGAGCCGCUUCCAAAAGCGCUCUGGGUAACAGUUGCAGUUGGGGUUUGAAAUGAUGUAGGAACUGCAGAAUUUGAUGUUCCUGAAUAUUGUAAGGUUUAACAAAUGUUAAGACAGUAUUGAAUAGACUUAUAUUAGAUUAUAUGCCGAAUGAUGAAGAUAAUCAGAUCGAACAGUGGAUAACCAAAAGCAGAAUUUGUGGUGCCAUGAUUUGCAUAUGCUACAUUAGCAAUCAGUGCGAGUCCAAACAUCCACUAACAUAUAUACAAGAACAAGAUGCAUGUUGAGGAUGCAAGCUUAUCAUUCAAAAUAAAUCAGUAGUUACCAGGUGCGGCAGGGGGGUAAGCAGGGGGUAGCCUCCUAAGCAAAGCAGAAUAGUCCUCACCAGCCUUCCAUCCUGAGGGUCCAAACAGUGAGUACUAACAUAUAUAGACAAACAAGAUACAUAGAGACAAUGCAGCUAACUGUAAGUUAACAAUGCACAAUGUCACAGGUAAUAAAGGGAGAAAUGGUUCUCCUGUGAAGACACAGUUCGAUGGAAUUGGGUAUUAAUUCAUUGCCCAAGGUGAGCAGUGAAGAUGACCACUUACAUAUUCUCUUCACUUCAUGUGAGGAAUUUGUUGGGCAAUUUCUUUUUAGAACACUUUCUUUUGAAACAUCAUUGCUGUUGGAAUGUGGCCUUUUAGCUAUUUAAUAUAAACUGGAGUAGCCGAGUGACUACUUUGUACUUUCAUUGGGCAAGUCAGUAAUUGAGUAAUGCAUUAACAAAAACUGCCAGAAAAGCUGAACAUGCUGUGAGGCAUUUCAAAACUGUGUAAUGUUUGUUGGUGUUGCUUAUAUAACUAGUUUAUCGAUCGAACUUUCAUCACAGAUCAAUGCAAGAAAGGUUUUUCAACACAUACUUGCUUCCCCAAGUUCCAAAUCUAUUUUAACACGAGCAACAUUCCUUCUGAUCCUGCAAAGGUACGAUCGAACGAAAGUAUAUGUUACUUUGUAAAUCAAUAGAAGAUGUAAACUACUUAGGAAAGGUGCUUACCCUUAAGACAAAGCAUUAGGAAAAACUGAAAGAUGCAGAAGCCAACCAUUAUUAUGCCAGAAGAUAUCUGAGAAAACAACAAUUUAUAAUUAUCUCUAGGCCAAGAUAUCUGAAGAAAUAAACCAUUCCCGAUAAUACAUUACUUCCUAGAUGCCUAGUCAUUUAAUAUGAAGUGAUAUUUUCUACCUAAACUGUUGAAAUAUAAAAUGCAUGCUUGGAACAUUCUAGAAGAUUUUGAAAAUCACAAGAGACUUUGACAUACAUAAGGAUAAGAUCAUGGCAAAGUAUGAAGGUUCCAUAAGACUUUGGAGAUAUCAAGAGUUUAGAGUUGCCAUGCUUCAUGGCAACUUAUGAAUAGUCUAGAGCAAGAUAUUUAUAUGGUAGGAUAAGAAUGAGAGAAAAUUCUAGAAUUAGAUAUUCAUAAAGAAAAGUGUGGAAGAUGUCACAUAGCAACACCAUAAAGACCAUGAGCACCUAUAAAUAGAGGUGCUCCCCUCCCAUAGCAAGCAGGUGAUUGCAAGGUAGAUCCAUUUUGUAUACUAAAAUCUAUUUUCGACAGGAAAUUCCAAUUCAAAAUAAAAUGCUCUAUUUUCACACCUAAGAUCUAUUUUUCACACAAACCUUCCUUUUCGCGAACAGACAUCUAUUUUCAAUACCGUUUUACAAAUUCUACAUAUUCUAGGAAACUAUGUCCUAUUUUCACGAAUAGCAAGGAUACUGAAAAAAAACAAGAUUCCAACUGGGAAAACAAAAAUACGUGAAAGAAACGAGAAUCCACCGUGCAAAACAGUAAUAAUGCCAAUAACAUGAAACCUUAAUCAUAGAAGUUCAUUAAAAAUCCACUGCAACAAACUAAGAAUACUACAAACCUUAAUCAUACAAGUUCAUUAAACAUCCACUGCAUCAAACUAAGAUAUGAAUUCAGAGACGGAAGCUGCUGUUAUGGAUAUUCCUCCAAUAGAUAUGAUCUCAUGUCUGUCAUUUACAAUACGAGGAGUAUUAGAUGCACAAAAGAAAUAAGUCUUGCUGCUUGUAUUAGAUAUAGUAAUUGCACAAAACAAAUACAAGGAGUAUUAGAAGCUAAUACUUACUCCUUGUACUUCUCCGAGCAAACGAGAUCAUACAGCUUCGAGCUUAUCUUUUCAGGCGCCUUUGUGUAUCUAGCCACUUUUAGAGUUGAUAUCGCUUUUCCUCUUGUCCUUUUAGCCGACUUUUCAAAGUCACUUACUUUUUCAGCCUUCCUCUUGUGCGAAGUAUCUUCUGCCCCAGAGGAGGAUUCGGAAGUGAAUUCUUGUUGUUCAGGGACAGUUGGCACAGCUUCUCCUUGUACACUUUCCAGGGCAGACCCGAUAGUUGGCAUAGCUUCUCCUUGUACACUUUCCAGGGUAGACCUGGAGACUACCAGGAAGAGGAAUCACCAGCUGCCAUGCCUACAUUUGGGCGCACCCUAUUUGCUUUGCUGUAGAUUAGGUCAACUGCAGUUUUCUGCCGGUACAUACAAACCAUUUCCUGUAUUUUAAGGCAAACAAUAAGUAUUUCUGGGAUUUGCAAAAAAUAAAAGAUACAUCAAGCAAGCACUAACCUUAUCAUGACCAUAUAUGUCCUUUCUUUCAAAACCAUCAAUGUACAUGAGCACAUGGAUCCCGCAAUCAAAACUGCAACAAUAAUUAGCAUAUUGGCAUUGGCAUAUUGGCAUUCAUGAUAGCGUUUUGUAACAUAGCAUAUUGGCAUUGCAAUCUCUACAGCUAAAAAAAUGUCAAACGGACCCAUCUACUACCCCGCCCCUCCUCAUCUCGCCUGGACGCCCCCUGCUCCGCCACCAAUGCGGCGACGCCUCGCUGCGCCACCUGGCAACCGCCCCCCAGACCCCUUCUCUUUCCUGUCCCGCCCGACUGCUACACCAUGCCGCCUCGCUCAGCAUCGCUCCGUCCGGCAUAGCUUAGUUAAAUGUGCUUGCACUUCGGUUAGAUCAUACCAGAGUUGUAGACGUGCGUCUGUGUUUAUGGUUUUUGUGGGCAUCCUUUGUGUGAUCAAGUGGUCUCAAAUGGCUGCUAGUGAAGCUUUCUAUAUUGUACUUAGGCUGGAUAUGGGGUGGCUGAUGAGCAACUUAUACUAAUUCUAGGAUAUUGUUCUAUUGUUCCUUAAAACUAAAAACAAAAUUAUAUUCAUGAGAAGCUUCAUAGCAUGGAAAAUCAUAGGUAAAAGAGGCGACUGCAAAAAAAUUGUGAUAUUAUACUAGUAAAAGAUAAUGGAGAAGUACAAGACUUACUCGUGCUCUUGAACUGCAAGACCAUGCAUGAAUGACAAAGGCCACAAAGAUGUCUGUACACCCAUCUCCAGCAAACAACUGCACGCUGCUUCAAACACACCCAUUGCGCGAUAGUAUACACUGCGACAUGGGUUGGAGUUCAGUACCCAACCACAUUUUCCCUCAAUGUCUAUCACCAGCAGGAACCAGUGAUUCUGAUCUGGAUCUUGGAUAGGCACAAAAACCUAACUGGUGCCCUCUAUGCUUCCAUCAAGUUCUUUCUUCAGAAUCUUAGACAGAUUUAGUUCCAAAGUGUUCCCAUUCCCUUCUGAAACAAUAAUAUAUGGCUUCUUCUCAGCCUUCCAUUCAAAUUUCCACAACAUAAACUGAGCGGACAUUACAGAGGAAUCCAUAUAUCCUGUUGGCUUGAAGCAUUUGACAAAAACAUCUUCAGCAACUGAAUGAUCAUGAAAGUCAAGUAUAGCAUGCUGUCCCGACGAAUCAAGCUUUUGCAGAACAUGCUGAGAGUACAAACUUUUCACUCCAAUUUGGUCCGCUCUACUGUUGCAUCCCUCUAGCAAAGAUCCAUCUAGCAAAGAUCCAAUUUCAGCAUCUAAUUGUGUUCCUCUAGGCACAUGCACGCGUGCCUUAGCAAGAGCAGCUGUUUUCCGUUAACUCCUGUCAACAGGUAUGGCUUCAGCGACAUCAGCUGCCUUCAGCUGCAACAGGCUUUCAUAACAGGUGCGCGACCUGCUCUUUAACUGAAAAAGUGAACAAACCUGUUACAUCUUGGACAAAGAAAUGAUGCCUCUAAUGAAAUCUAGUUGUUACUUACUGGAAGUUCGGCAUAGUCAGAUGAUGACUUAGCUUUACACUUGUUUGCAAUUUCCAUCAGUUCCUUUUUUUUGAAUUUGUUGAUGCGAGGAGGGAGCAAGUCCUUCCCUUUCAACUUCGGAUAGUCCACACUAUCUAAGUAAUACACAUGUCAAGCAUAAUUUAGUGUUAAGACAAACACAGUUGUAAUAAGGAAAAAAAAAGAACAAUUGAGACAAGGUUGAGUCCACCCAUGGAGAGUCCUUGUUGGUCGUGUCCUCCUUGGCUUCUUUGGCGGAGGCUUGUCUUUCUCGGCAUGCCAUCUCAACACAGCUUCCCUCAAAUCUUCAUAGACUAUUCUGGACCAGUCGAACUUAGUAAUCAAGUCCAUAUUUCUGGUGAGCAUGACGGCCUCUUUAUUGAGGGUGCUGCUAGUGCAUGGCAUCAGAUAGGAGUCUAUCACUGUCAUGAAGAAUAAUCUUAAUUUGAGCUCGCUCUCUUCCUCGGUGAGCACCCUGUUUUUCUCUUCCUCGAUGUCAGAUAGCUUUUUAAGCUUCUCAAGAAUAUGUUGGAUGGUAAGAUCUUUCUUUCCUUUUUUUUUUCUUGCCACCCUCCCCAUCUUCACCCUCCCCAUCUUCACCAUCCUGGUCACCAUCUUCCACAUCAUCUUCUUCAUUGUCAAUGGCCUGCUCAUCAUCUUGCUGAGGAAGUAAACCAAGUAUAGAACGCAGCUUAUCAAAUUCAUCAUUUCUUUCCUUCAUUGUGUAUGUUGGAGGCAUGUCUCCACCGAUUGGGACCCCCAGGAUUUUGUUUACCACCCAAGGCGUGAGCUAUAGGUAGACCCCUGGUUUUAUCUGAAUGAUGAUGCAGCCUGCUUCGAGUUUAGAAUUGUCAUACAACCACCGUACCAAAUCUCUUCUUCCUGGGCUUUCCACUGUUAAGUCUAGAAAAUAAUUGUAGGUGUACUCCUACAAAUUAAACAACAAACAGUUCAGUGACACAUAGAUUUCACAUGAGGUUAUAAGAGAGUGAGGGACAAUAAAGAAGACAUACACUGAGAACAACACAGGUCCUUCUAUUCACUUUUUCUUUUUUUUUCUUUUGUCGUUACAAUAGGGACUUAGGGAUAAGACGAUCAGGAUCCAGGGAUCACGUGAGGGCCCUGCUGCCGCCUGGAGCAUGUCGUCUCACUUUUCUACACAAAGAGUGUGUAAGUGAGUCUUGUAUCAAAUUGAGUAAUGAAUAAAGUUUUAAGUUUCCUUGUAGAGAGUUGGUCUCUCGCAUUGGUGUCAGUGCGAAGGUCUUCUCGAAGUAGUGUGGGUAAGGAUCUACAAAGAAGUGGUAGCACACUACUUUGGUGCCACUUCUAGGAAGUCGGUGUCAAGUUCGAGGUGACGAUUUCUCAACAUGAACCAUUAUCUGUUUUGGA
This 6521-nucleotide long non-coding RNA is filed under the name Setaria italica (foxtail millet). Its description in RNAcentral is "long non-coding RNA (SITA_LNC001935)". Lineage: Eukaryota; Viridiplantae; Streptophyta; Magnoliopsida; Poales; Poaceae. The record is from RNAcentral.